UUGGACGUGUGCUUGUAGAAGGCCAGUCUGAAGAUGCCUUGUAUAAGAGAGACGCAGUCACCAAGCCUUCAAGGUCCCCUUCAGUGGUGAGAUUUACCGUUUGCCCCUAGCAGGUUGCCCUGGAGGAAUAAGAGACGGGAGGAAAAGAGACCCCAGCUGCCCAAGGCCUUGUGUCCACCUCUGGUCAAUACUUCUGAAAAAACUGCUUCCAGCUAAGGAGCACAACUUGUCCCAAGAACCCCCGAUGGUCCCUGGGUGAGAUGAACUGGACUAGUCGCAGUGUUUGGGCCCUCAGAGACAGCAAUGCGUCCAUGGAGAAUCUCACCCACUCACUCUUACCAGGCAACACCACCCUGAUGCCAGAGACCAGCGUCAGCACGGCAGCCAGCACCCUCUCCGGAUCCAUUGGUGUCAUGGCCCUCGUCUUGCUCCUGGUGGGUCUCCUGGUGGUGAUCUUGAAGAAAUGGAGGCAUGAGAG
Molecule: long non-coding RNA, 478 nt
Filed under: Cavia porcellus (domestic guinea pig)
Lineage: Eukaryota; Metazoa; Chordata; Mammalia; Rodentia; Caviidae
Description: lncRNA (ENSCPOG00000039592.1)
Source: RNAcentral